CAAACUUGGUACACUUGUUCCCUAUGAUAUGAUAUUUCUAAUUUUAAUGCCAAAUUAGAGAUUUUACCCCAAUUUCACGGUCCACUGAACAUAGAAAAUGAUAGUGCGAGUGGGGCAUUCGUGUACUGAGGACACAUUCUUGUUUACAAAUAUUUUUAUGCCCCACCUACGAUAGUAGAGGGGCAUUAUGUUUUCUGGUCUGUGCGUCCGUUCGUUCGUCCGUUCGUUCGUCCGUCUGUCCCGCUUCAGGUUAAAGUUUUUGGUCGAGGUAGUUUUUGAUGAAGUUGAAGUCCAAUCGACUUCAAACUUGGUACACUUGUUCCCUAUGAUAUGAUCUUUCUAAUUUUAAUGCCAAAUUAGAGAUUUUACCCCAAAUUUCACGGUCCACUGAACAUAGAAAAUGAUAGUGCGAGUGGGGCAUUCGUGUACUGAGGACACAUUCUGGUUUACAAAUAUUU
Molecule: long non-coding RNA, 458 nt
Filed under: Mytilus galloprovincialis (Mediterranean mussel)
Lineage: Eukaryota; Metazoa; Mollusca; Bivalvia; Mytilida; Mytilidae
Source: RNAcentral